RNAcentral lists this ribosomal RNA (321 nucleotides) under uncultured Spirochaeta sp. Its description in RNAcentral is "bacterial SSU rRNA". It matches the Rfam family "Bacterial small subunit ribosomal RNA", at positions 1059 to 1382 of the family's 1533-position model. The record is from RNAcentral. Lineage: Bacteria; Pseudomonadati; Spirochaetota; Spirochaetia; Spirochaetales; Spirochaetaceae.
CUCGUGCUGUGAAGUGUUGGGUUAAGUCCCGCAACGAGCGCAACCCUAUCAUCUGUUGCCAGCAUUUAAGUGGGGACUCAGAUGAGACUGCCGGUGACAAACCGGAGGAAGGUGGGGACGACGUCAAGUCAUCAUGGCCCUUAUGUCCUGGGCUACACACGUGCUACAAUGGCCGGUACAGAGUGAAGCGAAACCGCGAGGUGAAGCAAAACGCAGAAAGCCGGUCUCAGUACGGAUUGGAGUCUGAAACUCGACUUCAUGAAGUUGGAAUCGCUAGUAAUCGCGCAUCAGCAUGGCGCGGUGAAUACGUUCCCGGGCCUU